RNAcentral lists this ribosomal RNA (533 nucleotides) under uncultured bacterium. RNAcentral describes it as "partial 16S ribosomal RNA". It matches the Rfam family "Bacterial small subunit ribosomal RNA", at positions 355 to 878 of the family's 1533-position model. The record is from RNAcentral.
UGGGGAAUAUUGCACAAUGGGCGCAAGCCUGAUGCAGCCAUGCCGCGUGUGUGAAGAAGGCCUUCGGGUCGUAAAGCACUUUCAGCGAGGAGGAAGGUGGUGAACUUAAUACGUUCAUCAAUUGACGUUACUCGCAGAAGAAGCACCGGCUAACUCCGUGCCAGCAGCCGCGGUAAUACGGAGGGUGCAAGCGUUAAUCGGAAUUACUGGGCGUAAAGCGCACGCAGGCGGUUUGUUAAGUCAGAUGUGAAAUCCCCGGGCUCAACCUGGGAACUGCAUUUGAAACUGGCAAGCUAGAGUCUCGUAGAGGGGGGUAGAAUUCCAGGUGUAGCGGUGAAAUGCGUAGAGAUCUGGAGGAAUACCGGUGGCGAAGGCGGCCCCCCUGGACGAAGACUGACGCUCAGGUGCGAAAGCGUGGGGCAGCAAACAGGAUUAGAUACCCUGGUAGUCCACGCUGUAAACGAUGUCGAUUUGGAGGUUGUGCCCUUGAGGCGUGGCUUCCGGAGCUAACGCGUUAAAUCGACCGCCUGGGG